AUUGAACGCUGGCGGCAUGCCUUACACAUGCAAGUCGAACGGCAGCACGGGUGCUUGCACCUGGUGGCGAGUGGCGAACGGGUGAGUAAUACAUCGGAACGUACCUUAUCGUGGGGGAUAACGCAGCGAAAGCUGUGCUAAUACCGCAUACGCCCUGAGGGGGAAAGCGGGGGAUCGCAAGACCUCGCGCGAUUAGAGCGGCCGAUGCCUGAUUAGCUAGUUGGUGGGGUAAAAGCCCACCAAGGCGACGAUCAGUAGCUGGUCUGAGAGGACGAUCAGCCACACUGGGACUGAGACACGGCCCAGACUCCUACGGGAGGCAGCAGUGGGGAAUUUUGGACAAUGGGGGCAACCCUGAGCCAGCAAUGCCGCGUGAGUGAAGAAGGCCUUCGGGUUGUAGAGCUCUUUUGUCAGGGAAGAAACACCGGCUCUAACACAGUCCGGGAAUGACGGUACCUGAAGAAUAAGCACCGGCUAACUACGUGCCAGCCGCCGCAGUAA
RNAcentral lists this ribosomal RNA (501 nucleotides) under uncultured bacterium. RNAcentral's name for it is "partial 16S ribosomal RNA". It matches the Rfam family "Bacterial small subunit ribosomal RNA", at positions 29 to 523 of the family's 1533-position model. The record is from RNAcentral.